ACAGAGCUGGAACAAGAUCCAACAGCUGGCCAAAGACAGACAGAAGUGGAAGAACUUUGUUGCUAGCCUAUGUGCCAGUGGGCACAAUGGGCAGUGAGUGAGUGUGAGUGAGUUAGGCAAAGAAAUUGCAGACUGCUGUUUGCCAUUCAUCGUCAAGUGCUGUAAGCAUUUCCUUUCUCUUAGAAGCUCAGUAGCCUAGUAGCAGUGUACAGGCAGGUGCAAUUAGAAGAAGACCUACCACAAAUAGAGAGA
Molecule: long non-coding RNA, 252 nt
Organism: Orbicella faveolata
Lineage: Eukaryota; Metazoa; Cnidaria; Anthozoa; Scleractinia; Merulinidae
Source: RefSeq, a predicted model, not a curated record